ACUUCCCCGGCCGCCCGCUGCACACUACACGCCUUAGGGCCACUUUUGGCCCUGCCUUCUUCCCUCCUCCUCCUCUCCCUCCCUCUGCCGCUUGCAACAGCCGGAGACAAAAAUGCUUCCUCCUUCCGCGUGGUUAUCCCUCGCCACGCGGUGGCUCUCGCCAUAAACACAAAGGUUCUCGCUUUUUCUUUGGCCUACUUGGCUAAAGUCUGCGCUCCUCAGGCAAAGAAGCGAGUUGGAAAGCAGAGUGGAGAGAGCCGAGUUAGCAGAGCCCCGCUGGGCAGCGAAGGAGGCGGCCGGGAAGCGGAGCGUCUGCACCGCCCGGGGCCAGGUGGCCUAGCGAGCCCGCGCUCCCCUCCUCGGCCCCGGGUCCCAGCGCGGUGGGCGCCGAGCCCCCGAGAGCAGCGCCCGCACCCACACGCGGGCUGCUCCCAGAUUCCUACAGCUUUGAGUCGUGGGUGCCUUCUGGGAAGACAGUGUCUGCAGUCUGCAAAACACAGGCGGGGGCGGGGGCAACCCCAGAAAAAGUGGGCUGGAAACCCUCAGGGCGAUUUGUUUUUGCUUUUUGUUUUUCUCAAAGUAGAAAAGCAACUUUUAGUUCUGACUCUCUCCGUUCCUGAACAUCCCAGGCAGAACCUCUCCGGAAAAGUGAUUCAAUGAUUUUUUUUUUUUUUUAAGAUUCUAGUGCUAAGUAAGUAAAUUCUAUUUUAAGAAACUAUUAUUGAUUGUACUAGUUGAGAGAUCGGAAAUUGAACUCAGUGGAGUGGGGAGGAGUGUUCUGAUCACCCAGUGCUACAUAUAUAUAUUUUUUCACAUGUGCUGCAUAUUAUUUGCUUAACUUAUAUGAACGUUAAGUCAGGGAAAUGCUGGAGUGGAAGUGCGAAGGCGGCUGGUGUUCUCCGGUCUCUCCCUGACCUCCAGCCAUGCUCAGUCUCCGUAUCAGUGACUUGUCUGCCUGCAGCUGCCUCAAAGGAGAGAAACAGAUGUGUCCACCUAGUGACUGGCGAAAGUUAUUUCGUCCAUUUAUCCAUCCAAUGAUCAAACAAAUCAGGUAGCGUCCAAGGAGGAAGACUGAGGACUCAGCAGUUCUCGGGUCUCUUCUGGAGGGAGAUAUCUUUGUAAAAUCGGCAGGCCUGGAGAGCUCCACGCACUACACAAGGGUUCUGUCAUCUUUACUUCUCAGACGUGGGGGCAAGAGCUGAGGAAGGAGAGCCGGCCAUUAUCUCUUAAGGGACUUCAAGCUUGGCUGCGGCCAACGACCAACGUGUGAUUGUAUUUUAUGAAACCCAUCAGGAUCGUUCUCCUCUUGGUUAAGCAAUAAAGCGACAGAAGCCACAGCUUUGUCCAAUCACUUCUCUCUCGGCCCCACUCCUCCUCUCCAGUCUUCCUCAUCAUUCUUUACCUCGAGGGAGGGAGGAUGAGCAGAAAGCUUUGUACCUGUACUGAACUUCCCAGCUUAUGAAACUUCAUCAUCGAAUAGUCAAACUGGUAAGGUAGCUUUCAUUUAUUUAUUUUUAGUCAAAAUAAUUAAAAUAACAUUCAAAUAUCAGUGCCAAGGGAUAUAGAACCAAGUACUGGACAUAAAUUGUCUGGCUCAUGGCACCGUGGAUAAGGCAUUGGACUCUCGUGCAUGAGGUCCUGAGUUCAAUCCCCGGCAACACAUGUACCAGGGAUGUCUGAUUCUUUCAUUCUUCCUGAAUAAAUAAAAUCUUUUAAAAAAAAAAAAAAGUAAUAAAAUGUCUGGCUCUAAAUCCAACUCUUCUGUCUUUCUGUGGAGAUCUGAUGGGUACGGAAGCAGCGCAAGACUGAGACUGACAUACAAGUACAAAAUGCAACACCGGGGCUUCCAGAACACUCUAAACUUACCACUUUUUCAAAAACUGCACCUACAGUUUUUUUUGUUUGUUUUAACCAGAGCACUGCUCAGCUCUGGCUUGUCGUUGUGCUGGGGACUGAACCUGGGACCUUUGGUGCCUCUGGCCAGAAAGUCAUUUUGCAUAACCAUUAUGCUACCUCCCUAGGCUGCCUAUAGUUCUACAAGUAGCCUCUCUUCCAACCUUCCUGCUUUUUGUGCUCUUAUCCCCUACCUCUUUUUUUCAAGAGAAAGAAACAGACUUCUAAAUAA
Erinaceus europaeus (western European hedgehog) is the source of this 2125-nucleotide long non-coding RNA. RefSeq lists it as uncharacterized. The record is from RefSeq and is a predicted model, not a curated record. Lineage: Eukaryota; Metazoa; Chordata; Mammalia; Eulipotyphla; Erinaceidae. The transcript is spliced from 2 exons.